CCUACGGGAGGCAGCAGUGAGGAAUAUUGGUCAAUGGCCGAGAGGCUGAACCAGCCAAGUCGCGUGAGGGAAGACGGCCCUACGGGUUGUAAACCUCUUUUGUCGGGGAGCAAAGCGAUUCACGUGUGACUCAUUGAGAGUACCCGACGAAAAAGCAUCGGCUAACUCCGUGCCAGCAGCCGCGGUAAUACGGAGGAUGCGAGCGUUAUCCGGAUUUAUUGGGUUUAAAGGGUGCGCAGGCGGAGGUGCAAGUCAGCGGUCAAAUUGCGGGGCUCAACCCCGUACUGCAGUUGAAACUGCAUGCCUUGAGGGCGCGAGAGGUAUGCGGAAGGCGUGGUGUAGCGGUGAAAUGCAUAGAUAUCACGCAGAACUCCGAUUGCGAAGGCAGCAUACCGGCGCGCAACUGACGCUCAUGCACGAAAGCGUGGGUAUCGAACAGGAUUAGAUACCCGUGUAGUC
Molecule: ribosomal RNA, 459 nt
Filed under: uncultured bacterium
Lineage: Bacteria
Description: partial 16S ribosomal RNA
Rfam family: Bacterial small subunit ribosomal RNA
Source: RNAcentral